Felis catus (domestic cat) is the source of this 85-nucleotide transfer RNA. It matches the Rfam family "tRNA". Rfam says of the family: Transfer RNA (tRNA) molecules are approximately 80 nucleotides in length. Their secondary structure includes four short double-helical elements and three loops (D, anti-codon, and T loops). Further hydrogen bonds mediate the characteristic L-shaped molecular structure. tRNAs have two regions of fundamental functional importance: the anti-codon, which is responsible for specific mRNA codon recognition, and the 3' end, to which the tRNAs corresponding amino acid is attached (by aminoacyl-tRNA synthetases). tRNAs cope with the degeneracy of the genetic code in two manners: having more than one tRNA (with a specific anti-codon) for a particular amino acid; and 'wobble' base-pairing, i.e. permitting non-standard base-pairing at the 3rd anti-codon position. NCBI's taxonomy places the organism in Eukaryota, Metazoa, Chordata, Mammalia, Carnivora, Felidae. The record is from Rfam.
GCCUGGGUGGCUCAGUCGGUUGAGUAUCCGACUUCGACUCAGGUUAUGAUCCUGUGGUUCGUGGGUUCAAGCCCCGCGUCGGGCU